AAAAAAUAAUAACCACGUACUCAUAUAAGCCUAGAAAUAAGGUCAGGCGUUUCUACCAAAUACCGUAAAUAUUUGACUAUGAGUAGUCUAGUGUAGAUA
Clostridium botulinum D str. 1873 is the source of this 99-nucleotide non-coding RNA. NCBI's taxonomy places the organism in Bacteria, Bacillati, Bacillota, Clostridia, Eubacteriales, Clostridiaceae. The record is from Rfam.